This 483-nucleotide ribosomal RNA is filed under the name Phyllidiella pustulosa. RNAcentral describes it as "partial large subunit ribosomal RNA". It matches the Rfam family "Archaeal large subunit ribosomal RNA", at positions 1888 to 2671 of the family's 2987-position model. Lineage: Eukaryota; Metazoa; Mollusca; Gastropoda; Nudibranchia; Phyllidiidae. The record is from RNAcentral.
UCGCCUGUUUUUAAAAACAUAGCCUUAGGAAUAUUGAUCUAAGGUUAAACCUGCCCAAUGUGUAACUUAUGAAAAUAAAUUAUCAAUGGCCGCGGUACUUUGACCGUGCUAAGGUAGCGCAAUCAAUUGGCUUUUAAAUGGAGUCAGGUAUGAAUGGAAUUACGGAGUUUAGCUGUCUCUGAACUGCUUUAUAGAAAUUACUUUAUAGGUGAAAAAGCCUAUAUAAAGAUAAAGGACGAGAAGACCCUUAGAGUUUUAUUUAAUAUAAAUUAUUUAUUUACGAUGAUUUAGUUGGGGCAACAUAAGAACAGAUAGAAUAUAACUUCUUGGAAUUUACAUAUCGAUUUUUAUAAGUAUGAAUAAACUACCUUAGGGAUAACAGCAUAAUUUAAAAUAUAAGUUUGUGACCUCGAUGUUGGACUAGGAAACUAAUGGGCUAGCCGCUUUUUAGAAAGGUUCUGUUCGAACUAAAAAUCCUACGUG